UGAACGCUGGCGGCAGGCCUAACACAUGCAAGUCGAACGGUAACAGAAAGCAGCUUGCUGCUUUGCUGACGAGUGGCGGACGGGUGAGUAAUGUCUGGGAAACUGCCCGAUGGAGGGGGAUAACUACUGGAAACGGUAGCUAAUACCGCAUAACGUCGCAAGACCAAAGAGGGGGACCUUCGGGCCUCUUGCCAUCGGAUGUGCCCAGAUGGGAUUAGCUAGUAGGUGGGGUAAAGGCUCACCUAGGCGACGAUCCCUAGCUGGUCUGAGAGGAUGACCAGCCACACUGGAACUGAGACACGGUCCAGACUCCUACGGGAGGCAGCAGUGGGGAAUAUUGCACAAUGGGCGCAAGCCUGAUGCAGCCAUGCCGCGUGUAUGAAGAAGGCCUUCGGGUUGUAAAGUACUUUCAGCGGGGAGGAAGGGAGUAAAGUUAAUACCUUUGCUCAUUGACGUUACCCGCAGAAGAAGCACCGGCUAACUCCGUGCCAGCAGCCGCGGUAAUACGGAGGGUGCAAGCGUUAAUCGGAAUUACUGGGCGUAAAGCGCACGCAGGCGGUUUGUUAAGUCAGAUGUGAAAUCCCCGGGCUCAACCUGGGAACUGCAUCUGAUACUGGCAAGCUUGAGUCUCGUAGAGGGGGGUAGAAUUCCAGGUGUAGCGGUGAAAUGCGUAGAGAUCUGGAGGAAUUACCGGUGGCGAAGGCGGCCCCCUGGACGAAAACUGACGCUUCACGUGCGAAAGCGUGGGGAAGCAAAACAGGAUUACAUACCCCUGGUAGUCCACGCCGUAAACGAUGUCGACUUGGAGGUUGUGCCCUUGAGGCGUGGCUUCCGGAGCUAACGCGUUAAGUCGACCGCCUGGGGAGUACGGCCGCAAGGUUAAAACUCAAAUGAAUUGACGGGGGCCGGCACAAGCGGUGGAGCAUGUGGUUUAUUUCGAUGCAACGCGAAGACCUUUACCUGGUCUUGACAUCCACGGAAGUUUUCAGAGAUGAGAAUGUGCCUUUCGGGACCGGUGAGACAGGUGCGCCAUGGCUUUCGUUCAGUUCGGGUGUGAAAAUGUGGGGUUAAGUUCCCGCAACGAGCGCAACCUUAUCCUUUGUUGCCCAGCGGUCCGGCCGGGAACUCAAAGGAGACUGCCAGUGAUAAACUGGAGGAAGGUGGGGAUGACGUCAAGUCAUCAUGGCCCUUACGACCAGGGCUACACACGUGCUACAAUGGCGCAUACAAAGAGAAGCGACCUCGCGAGAGCAAGCGGACCUCAUAAAGUGCGUCGUAGUCCGGAUUGGAGUCUGCAACCCGACUCCAUGAAGUCGGAAUCGCUAGUAAUCGUGGAUCAGAAUGCCACGGUGAAUACGUUCCCGGGCCUUGUACACACCGCCCGUCACACCAUGGGAGUGGGUUGCAAAAGAAGUAGGUAGCUUAACCUUCGGGAGGGCGCUUACCACUUUGUGAUUCAUGACUGGGGUGAA
Molecule: ribosomal RNA, 1472 nt
Filed under: uncultured organism
Description: 16S ribosomal RNA
Rfam family: Bacterial small subunit ribosomal RNA
Source: RNAcentral